AGAAUCAACGCUGGCGGCGUGCCUAACACAUGCAAGUCGCACGAGAAAGGGACUUCGGUCCUGAGUACAGUGGCGCACGGGUGAGUAACACGUGAAUGAUCUACCUCCGAGUGGGGAAUAACCUAGAGAAAUCUGGGCUAAUACCGCAUAACACUUACGAGUCAAAGCAGCAAUGCGCUUGGAGAGGAGUUCGCGGCCGAUUAGCUAGUUGGCGGGGUAAUGGCCCACCAAGGCGAUGAUCGGUA
Molecule: ribosomal RNA, 245 nt
Filed under: uncultured bacterium
Lineage: Bacteria
Description: partial small subunit ribosomal RNA
Rfam family: Bacterial small subunit ribosomal RNA
Source: RNAcentral